CGACUCUCGGCAACGGAUAUCUCGGCUCACGCAUCGAUGAAGAACGUAGCAAAAUGCGAUACUUGGUGUGAAUUGCAGAAUCCCGUGAACCAUCGAGUUUUUGAACGCAAGUUGCGCCCGAAGCCUUUUGGCCGAGGGCACGUCUGCUUGGGCGUCACGCA
This 161-nucleotide ribosomal RNA is filed under the name Pentzia oppositifolia. RNAcentral's name for it is "5.8S ribosomal RNA". It matches the Rfam family "5.8S ribosomal RNA". From Rfam's summary of the family: 5.8S ribosomal RNA (5.8S rRNA) is a component of the large subunit of the eukaryotic ribosome. It is transcribed by RNA polymerase I as part of the 45S precursor that also contains 18S and 28S rRNA. Lineage: Eukaryota; Viridiplantae; Streptophyta; Magnoliopsida; Asterales; Asteraceae. The record is from RNAcentral.